ACGAAAAUCUUGAAAAGGGUAAUUGUCUAAAUGAAUACUAUAUAAAGGGGUCGUAGUGAAGCUUAAGAAGACAACAACUUUUCUCAUUUGUUUCAAAGAUGGGGAAAAUGGCUUCUCUAUUUGCCACUCUUUUAGUAGUUUUAGUGUCACUUAGCAUAGCUUCUGAAAGCUCAGCAAAUUAUCAAUACUCAUCUCCUCCUCCACCAGUGCAUGUCUAUCCAUCACCACCCCAUCACCCUGUAUAUAAGUCUCCACCACCACCUAAGAAGCCCUACCACCCUUCACCAACCCCAUAUCAUCCUGUACCCGUUUAUAAAUCUCCACCCCCACCAACUCCAGUUUACAAGUCGCCACCACCACCCAAGAAGCCACAAUAUCCUCCACACAUCCCGGUUUAUAAGUCGCCACCACCACCAACUCCCGUUUACAAGUCACCACCACCACCCAAGAAGCCACACUACCCUCCACACAUCCCUGUUUAUAAGUCACCACCACCGCCCAAGAAGCCAUACUAUCCUCCACAUACUCCAGUUUACAAGUCGCCACCACCACCAACUCCGGUUUACAAGUCACCACCGCCACCCAAGAAACCAUACUAUCCUCCACACAUCCCUGUUUACAAAUCUCCACCACCACCUACUCCAGUUUACAAGUCGCCACCACCACCCAAGAAGCCAUACUACCCUCCACACACCCCGGUUUAUAAGUCUCCACCACCACCAACUCCUGUUUACAAGUCACCACCACCACCCAAGAAGCCAUACUAUCCUCCACACACACCAGUUUACAAGUCGCCACCACCACCUACUCCCGUUUACAAGUCACCACCACCACCAACACCCGUUUACAAGUCACCACCACCACCUAAGAAGCCACACCAUCCUUCACCAACCCCAUAUCAUCCUGCACCAGUUUACAAGUCCCCACCACCACCUAAGAAGCCAGACCACCCUUCACCAACACCGUAUCAUCCUGCACCAGUUUACAAAUCCCCACCGCCACCUACUCCAGUUUACAAGUCACCACCACCUUCAGUGAAGCCAUACCAUCCUUCACCAACACCAUAUCAUCCUGCACCAGUUUAUAAGCCUCCACCACCACCAACUCCUGUCUACAAGUCACCUCCACCACCAACUCCAGUCUACAAGUCUCUACCACCGCACCACCCCUAUCUUUACACUUCUCCUCCUCCUCCCUACCAUUACUAAGAAGUGUCAUCGCAAAGUUGAAGGUAAUUAAGCCAAAUUAAUUAAGACAUUUUCAAAAUGAUAUGUCAAGAAUUCAAAGUAAAUUGCAUAUAUAACUGCGUUCAUGCAAAACCUUAAUAUAAUAGAAAGAACUGCUCUCUCUGCUUCUUAUUUUCUUAGCUUCAUUUAUCAGUUACUAGCUGUUCAGAAUUUUCAGUAUCUUUUGAUAUUACUAAGAACCUAAUCACACAAUGUAUAUUCUUAUGCAGGA
RNAcentral lists this long non-coding RNA (1458 nucleotides) under Nicotiana benthamiana. RNAcentral's name for it is "long non-coding RNA (NBEN_LNC005959)". The record is from RNAcentral. Lineage: Eukaryota; Viridiplantae; Streptophyta; Magnoliopsida; Solanales; Solanaceae.